This 252-nucleotide ribosomal RNA is filed under the name uncultured bacterium. RNAcentral describes it as "partial 16S ribosomal RNA". It matches the Rfam family "Bacterial small subunit ribosomal RNA", at positions 525 to 776 of the family's 1533-position model. The record is from RNAcentral.
ACGUAGGUGGCAAGCGUUAUCCGGAAUUACUGGGCGUAAAGGGUGUGCAGGCGGGGUUGCAAGUGGUGUAUGAAAUAUCCCAGCUUAACUGGGAGGGGUUAUGCCAGACUGCAACUCUAGAGGACGAGAGAGGGGGGUGGAAUUCCGGGUGUAGUGGUGAAAUGCGUAGAGAUCCGGAGGAACCCCAGAGGCGAAGGCGGCCCCCUGGCUCGUACCUGACGCUCAGCCACGAAAGCAUGGGGAGCGAACGGG